Molecule: non-coding RNA, 2314 nt
Organism: Myodes glareolus (Bank vole)
Lineage: Eukaryota; Metazoa; Chordata; Mammalia; Rodentia; Cricetidae
Source: RefSeq, a predicted model, not a curated record
GUUUGGUGUGUGUGUGUAUGGUUUGGGAGCUUUGCUCUCUCGUGCUGCCUUGCACUUGGACUUGACUGGCUAGUGCCUGACAGACAACCUCAUGACAAGCAAGCUACAGCUUCACCACAGUGGCUGCCUGGGAAAUCGUGACCGCCAAAGAAAUGCCAUGCUGUGCCAUCCUGGACUUCAAGGAGUAGAUGGCUACUGGGGCCUCUUCCGCUCGCCUUCGAGAUGGGACAGAAGCUUCCUAAAGGCGUGGUUCCAGCCUCGAUUCCAGGUCACUCACCUUCCAUCCAUGCACAGUGAGAUGGACCUGGGGUGAAGGCACUUGCUACCGAGCCUGCCAACCUGUAUUCUGGUCCAGGGACCCACGUGAUGUCAGGAGGGAACUGACUCCUGGUAGCUCUCCUCUGACCUCCAUAGCUGUGCUGUGGCACUCCCAAGCUUUCUUAUGAAACGAAUUAAUUAAUUAAUGCAAAAGAGACUUAAGGUCACUAAAGACUACAGGGCGUGGGGCCUGACAAGUCACGGCUGACAGGUCAGGGCUCUCUCUUUGGAGCAGAACAGUGGAUCUCAACCUUCCUAAAUGCUGCCACCCUUUAAAACAACUCCUCACGCUGUGCCGACCCCCAACCAAGAGAUUAUUUCAUUGCUACUUCAUAACUGUAAUUUUGCUACUGUAACGAAUCGUAGUGUAAAUAUUCUCGGAGAGAGAGAGGUUUGGCAAAGGGGUCACAGCCCAGAGGUUGAGAAAAACUGGAGUAGAACAUGCUAGAACCACAGAACAUAACACUUUAGUCGGUUUUUAGACAAACCGGGCGGCAAGCCCAUCACACAAGGGCUGCUGGUCUGGCAGGCUUGAAGGAGACGGCGUGCCACUGCACAAACACCAUUGAGCCGCAGUUGAUUAUUCCAGAUCUGAAGGAGCUCUCAAACCUGGGCCUCCUCACCCCUGAAGUGGUCAGGUCCGAACGACUACCUUGCCCCUGGGCCUUACCAGUCUGAACCCCCCAGCCCUGGCACCAAUAGCGACAAGAAAAAGCCCAAGUGCCUUUGAGUCUGGUUUCCUUUCCUGGCAUUGUUCAAAGUACGUAGCCCCUGGGGACAGGCUGAGUCCCAGCUGCUGCGAACUGGGCUCUGGGAGAGGAAGUACCACCCAGAACUGGUUGGCAAACCUGGCAGCUUCCACAGCAGGCAGGUCCAACCCCUCUGACAAUUCCAUCCAGACUGACUAGGGAGGACCUGGGAUUUUACUGCUGUCCUUGCAGAUCUCCGGCUUCUCAGACCUGGAAUCCUGCUGAGCCAGGUUUAGUCAUUCAACCAACACAAACCAAGUACCUAGCAAGGAGCUGGGUGGGCACUGCUUGGCUCCAGGGCUGCUGCCGAAAUCACCGCAGCCCAAUCCAGUGAGCCUAGAGUGGGUUGGCGGGCUAGGCAAACAAGGGACUUCUGAGUCAGGUCACAAUCUCAGUUUUAGUACUCACAUCUGUGUGACGUCAUUACUGCUCCACGGUGUGGUUAAGGCAAAGGGUUUUAUUGUAGAUACGCGAGAAAGACCAGCCAGAGGCAUUUGGAAGUGUCCAGAGCAGAAAGAGAAAGAAGUAGGCUAAACAUGACCAGUGGACUGGCCCCCUAUCUCUUAGAGAAGCAGAAACAGAGCAGAGAGACAGACAGGCAGAGAGGGGGGGGAGGGGGAAGAUUUGGGCAAGGGAGACAGAGAGAAUAUAUUGACAAUAACAGGGUUACAAGGUUAACGCCUGUACUAGAGGGAGUCUAGGGUGAGAAGAGUUAGGGCACAGCAUGGGCUCUGAAAUGUGGAGCAGGUGCUUUUCUUAGGGACCCUGGAGGCAGCAGUGCUUGGGUAUGCUAACAGGCACCACAAACAGCCGACUGUCCUUUCUACCAGCGAUAAGAAGGAGUCCUUUUUGCCGAGGGGAACCGGCUGCAAAAGUUCCCGAGGAAUGCUGGCUUUUGUCUCACCACCAGAAAUCCUCCAGGACGGCCUUUUGGAGUUUGAGGAACUGGAGUCUCCUUUGGACCUGACAUGGCCCUGUACAGAGUUCUUGACUUUGUGCUGGGAAUGGAACGCAGAGUCUUAAGUGCGCUAGGCAAGCACUUUACCAUUGAGCCACACUCCCAAGCCCUGGGGGGGGGGGAGCCGGAGGGGUUCUAGACAGAGACCUUACUACUGAGCCGCAUUGCCCAGUUCUAAUGCUGUUCUUAGGACAUUCAGGAACAGGCAAAACCACAGAGAUAGAAGACAUGUUCAUGACGAACUGGGGCUGGGACAGGAAGAAAGCUAAUAAAACAGUGUAAGACACUU